RNAcentral lists this ribosomal RNA (465 nucleotides) under uncultured bacterium. RNAcentral describes it as "partial 16S ribosomal RNA". It matches the Rfam family "Bacterial small subunit ribosomal RNA", at positions 338 to 795 of the family's 1533-position model. The record is from RNAcentral.
CCUACGGGAGGCAGCAGUGGGGAAUAUUGCGCAAUGGGCGAAAGCCUGACGCAGCGACGCCGCGUGAGGGAUGAAGGUCUUCGGAUCGUAAACCUCUGUCAGCAGGGAAGAACGGUCACUGUGCUAAUCAGCAGUGAAUUGACGGUACCUGCAAAGGAAGCACCGGCUAACUCCGUGCCAGCAGCCGCGGUAAUACGGAGGGUGCGAGCGUUAGUCGGAAUUACUGGGCGUAAAGGGCUCGUAGGCGGUAUGUCAAGUCAAGGGUGAAAUCCCCGGGCUCAACGUGGGAACUGCCUUUGAAACUGGCAAACUUGAGUGUGUGAGGGGAUAGCGGAAUUCCAGGUGUAGGAGUGAAAUCCGUAGAUAUCUGGAGGAACAUCAGUGGCGAAGGCGACUGUCUGGCACAUAACUGACGCUGAGGAGCGAAAGCGUGGGUAGCAAACAGGAUUAGAUACCCCUGUAGUC